RNAcentral lists this long non-coding RNA (2826 nucleotides) under Lathyrus oleraceus (garden pea). RNAcentral's name for it is "Pisum sativum (pea) long non-coding RNA (PSAT_LNC030362)". Lineage: Eukaryota; Viridiplantae; Streptophyta; Magnoliopsida; Fabales; Fabaceae. The record is from RNAcentral.
AAAAUGCAACAAAAUGAAAUACCUCGAUGCCUCGCUCAAGCCAACGCGUAGAGAUGGCAGCGGUAUGUUGACUCCGGUAACGGGAACUCUCGAUCGUCGGCACCGGAGAACCUCUUCCGUGACAACCGUAAGAUAUCACGUCGUCUAGAUCCGUUAACCUCGAAUCCACGUCCAACAUUCGAUACGGCGACUUCCGCUAAGACGUUCUGAUCUCCUCCUCCGAUCGUGGAAUUACGAUUCUGAUUCGUCUUCUCUUCUUGACUUCAAUCCGUGUUUCUUCUGCUUGAAACAGUGUUGUGGCGGCGUCGAUUCCAGACACGCUAGAUUCCGUCACCGGCGGCAGCGAUCCAUUCCAACAACUAUCUAUAUCCGCGCUCCUCAACUAACCUGAAACAAAAAUAAUCGGCCAAAUUGGAGCAACCGCGAGCGGUAAAAGCAAGAUCGGAGGUUUCGUCGGCGGCUUCACUUUGAAAUUCCGGUAAUGAAUGUUGCAAGCUUGAAUCGCCUUUCUCCUCCUUCUUCUUAUAAUACAAUCCUCUGCGGCGAGGUAUUGUUUGCUAUCGAAAAUGGCGGAUGAACCGUCAGAAGGUUGAGGAGGAUUGAAGCGGUGGUUAACCGUUUUGCGAGUUUGUUACGGUGAGGGUUUCGGUUGUGUAAGAUUGGAAGAGAGGUGAAUUAAAGUGGUGAAGGUUGGUGAUGAAUUGAGGUUGAAGGUGGAGGAAGGUUCUGUGAAUGGAGGUUGAAGAAUCCGGCAGUUUGUGAUGAAGCUUGCUUUUAUAGAGUGAUGAGUGUGAUAUUAGAAGCAAUUCGGAAGAAAAUUCUGUUAUGAAUUUGUUAUUAUUCUGUGAAAUUAUGCAGGUGUGGAAUUGGCUUUUGCUGGCUCGCGUUUAGCUUGUUGUUGUACCGGCUUAUGGAAGUCUUGGCUACGCAUCGUGUGGUUUAGUGUUUUGCUUUGCGGUUUACCGGCUUGGAAGCUUUAGCUGCGUUUCAAUGUGAAUUUGCAAGUUAUUUUGGAUGGGCGUGUUGCCGGCUUUUAUGCAGAAUUUUUGGUUUGAUUGUAGUGCAGAAUUUUUGUUGAAUUGUAGUGCAGAAUUUUGUUUUUAUUAUGCACUGUUUUGGUAGCCGCGUGAGGCUUUGUGGCUUAUGGCUUGUGAUGGUUUUGGAGUUGUUGUACAGUGUUUGGAGCUGGCUUUGCAGCAUUUUNAAUAAUCUAAACCAACUAGCUAUAAAACAAGGUAUAUGAGUUUUAAAGGUGCAGAAUGGGCCUCGGGAACAUUUGGCCCAAACCACAGGGAGGGUGCAAGCUGGAAAAACGGGGUGUGUUUGUGCAAGCAGCACGCCUGAGAUGAUAGGGCCUUCUUUAAGGCCCAUCCGAGAUGCACAAAGCUGUGAGGACGCUACUUCGUCUUUGCCAAAAAACAUGAACAAAAUGCAACAAAAUGAAAUACCUCGAUGCCUCGCUCAAGCCAACGCGUAGAGAUGGCAGCGGUAUGUUGACUCCGGUAACGGGAACUCUCGAUCGUCGGCACCGGAGAACCUCUUCCGUGACAACCGUAAGAUAUCACGUCGUCUAGAUCCGUUAACCUCGAAUCCACGUCUAACAUUCGAUACGGCGACUUCCGCUAAGACGUUCUGAUCUCCUCCUCCGAUCGUGGAAUUACGAUUCUGAUUCGUCUUCUCUUCUUGACUUCAAUCCGUGUUUCUUCUGCUUGAAACAGUGUUGUGGCGGCGUCGAUUCCAGACACGCUAGAUUCCGUCACCGGCGGCAGCGAUCCAUUCCAACAACUAUCUAUAUCCGCGCUCCUUAACUAACCUGAAACAAAAAUAAUCGGCCAAAUUGGAGCAACCGCGAGCGGUAGAAGCAAUAUCGGAGGUUUCGUCGGCGGCUUCACUUUGAAAUUCCGGUAAUGAAUGUUGCAAGCUUUAAUCGCCUUUCUCCUCCUUCUUCUUAUAAUACAAUCCUCUGCGGCGAGGUAUUGUUUGCUAUCGAAAAUGGCGGAUGAACCGUCAGAAGGUUGAGGAGGAUUGAAGCGGUGGUUAACCGUUUUGCGAGUUUGUUACGGUGAUGGUUUCGGUUGUGUAAGAUUGGAAGAGAGGUGAAUUAAAGUGGUGAAGGUUGGUGAUGAAUUGAGGUUGAAGGUGGAGGAAGGUUCUGUGAAUGGAGGUUGAAGAAUCCGGCAGUUUGUGAUGAAGCUUGCUUUUAUAGAAUGAUGAGUGUGAUAUUAGAAGCAAUUCGGAAGAAAAUUCUGUUAUGAAUUUGUUAUUAUUCUGUGAAAUUAUGCAGGUGUGGAAUUGGCUUUUGCUGGCUCGCGUUUAGCUUGUUGUUGUACCGGCUUAUGGAAGUCUUGGCUACGCAUCGUGUGGUUUAGUGUUUUGCUUUGCGGUUUACCGGCUUGGAAGCUUUAGCUGCGUUUCAAUGUGAAUUUGCAAGUUAUUUUGGAUGGGCGUGUUGCCGGCUUUUAUGCAGAAUUUUUGGUUUGAUUGUAGUGCAGAAUUUUUGUUGAAUUGUAGUGCAGAAUUUUGUUUUUAUUAUGCACUGUUUUGGUAGCCGCGUGAGGCUUUGUGGCUUAUGGCUUGUGAUGGUUUUGGAGUUGUUGUACAGUGUUUGGAGCUGGCUUUGCAGCAUUUUCAUGUAAAUGUGAACAAGAGAUGUAAUAUGUAUUUAAUUGGAUUGUGAAAUUAGAGUUUGGAUAACUGAUUUAAAUGGUUAUAAUAAAUGGAUUAACUUGGGUUAUGAACAAAAAUGGAUCAUGGACUAAAUGGAUAAUGAUUUUAUGGAUAUUGUAAAAUGGAUGUAAAAAAAUGGAUUUAACGAAUGGAUAUGGA